This 1405-nucleotide ribosomal RNA is filed under the name uncultured bacterium. RNAcentral's name for it is "partial 16S ribosomal RNA". It matches the Rfam family "Bacterial small subunit ribosomal RNA". The record is from RNAcentral.
AGAGUUUGAUCCUGGCUCAGGAUGAACGCUAGCGACAGGCCUAACACAUGCAAGUCGAGGGGCAGCGGGGAGCGAAGCUUGCUUUCUCCGCCGGCGACCGGCGCACGGGUGAGUAACACGUAUGCAACCUGCCCCUGUCAGGGGGACAACCCGCCGAAAGGCGGGCUAAACCCGCGUACAUGCCACCGGGGCAUCCCGGAGGCAGGAAAGGCUUCGGCCGGACAGGGAUGGGCAUGCGGCGCAUUAGGCAGUAGGCGGGGUAACGGCCCACCUAACCGACGAUGCGUAGGGGUUCUGAGAGGAAGGUCCCCCACACUGGUACUGAGACACGGACCAGACUCCUACGGGAGGCAGCAGUGAGGAAUAUUGGUCAAUGGUCGGGAGACUGAACCAGCCAAGCCGCGUGAGGGAGGAAGGUACAGAGUAUCGUAAACCUCUUUUGUCAGGGAACAAAGGCGGGGACGUGUCCCCGGAUGAGUGUACCUGAAGAAAAAGCAUCGGCUAACUCCGUGCCAGCAGCCGCGGUAAUACGGAGGAUGCGAGCGUUAUCCGGAUUUAUUGGGUUUAAAGGGUGCGCAGGCGGUCUGUUAAGUCAGCGGUCAAAGCCCGGGGCUCAACCCCGGCCCGCCGUUGAAACUGGCAGUCUCGAGUUGGAGAGAAGUAUGCGGAAUGCGCGGUGUAGCGGUGAAAUGCAUAGAUAUCGCGCAGAACUCCGAUUGCGAAGGCAGCAUGCCGGCUCCACACUGACGCUGAGGCACGAAAGCGUGGGUAUCGAACAGGAUUAGAUACCCUGGUAGUCCACGCAGUAAACGAUGAAUGCUGGCUGUCCGGGGGGAUUGACCCCUGGGUGGCGAAGCGAAAGCGAUAAGCAUUCCACCUGGGGAGUACGCCGGCAACGGUGAAACUCAAAGGAAUUGACGGGGGCCCGCACAAGCGGAGGAACAUGUGGUUUAAUUCGAUGAUACGCGAGGAACCUUACCCGGGCUCAAACGGGGAGUGACUCAGGCAGAGACGCCUGUUUCCCACGGGACACUCCCCGAGGUGCUGCAUGGUUGUCGUCAGCUCGUGCCGUGAGGUGUCGGCUUAAGUGCCAUAACGAGCGCAACCCCCGCGCGCAGUUGCUAACAGAUAACGCUGAGGACUCUGCACGGACUGCCGGCGCAAGCCGCGAGGAAGGCGGGGAUGACGUCAAAUCAGCACGGCCCUUACGUCCGGGGCGACACACGUGUUACAAUGGGUGGUACAGCGGGAAGCCAGGCGGCGACGCCGAGCGGAACCCGAAAUCCACUCUCAGUUCGGAUCGGAGUCUGCAACCCGACUCCGUGAAGCUGGAUUCGCUAGUAAUCGCGCAUCAGCCAUGGCGCGGUGAAUACGUUCCCGGGCCUUGCACUCACCGCCCGUCAAG